UACGGGGGGGGCAAGCGUUGUUCGGAAUUACUGGGCGUAAAGGGCUUGUAGGCGGCCAACUAAGUCCGACGUGAAAUCCCCAGGCUUAACCUGGGAACUGCGUCGGAUACUGGAUGGCUUGAAUUCGGGAGAGGGAUGCGGAAUUCCAGGUGUAGCGGUGAAAUGCGUAGAUAUCUGGAGGAACACCGGUGGCGAAGGCGGCAUCCUGGACCGGGAUUGACACUGAGGCGCGAAAGCCAGGGGAGCAAACGGG
RNAcentral lists this ribosomal RNA (253 nucleotides) under uncultured bacterium. Its description in RNAcentral is "partial 16S ribosomal RNA". It matches the Rfam family "Bacterial small subunit ribosomal RNA", at positions 524 to 776 of the family's 1533-position model. The record is from RNAcentral.